RNAcentral lists this ribosomal RNA (544 nucleotides) under Lasiodiplodia pseudotheobromae. RNAcentral describes it as "eukaryotic LSU rRNA". The stretch from base 181 to 334 matches the Rfam family "5.8S ribosomal RNA". The record is from RNAcentral. Lineage: Eukaryota; Fungi; Ascomycota; Dothideomycetes; Botryosphaeriales; Botryosphaeriaceae.
UCGUAACAAGGUUUCCGUAGGUGAACCUGCGGAAGGAUCAUUACCGAGUUUUCGGGCUUCGGCUCGACUCUCCCACCCUUUGUGAACGUACCUCUGUUGCUUUGGCGGCUCCGGCCGCCAAAGGACCUCCAAACUCCAGUCAGUAAACGCAGACGUCUGAUAAACAAGUUAAUAAACUAAAACUUUCAACAACGGAUCUCUUGGUUCUGGCAUCGAUGAAGAACGCAGCGAAAUGCGAUAAGUAAUGUGAAUUGCAGAAUUCAGUGAAUCAUCGAAUCUUUGAACGCACAUUGCGCCCCUUGGUAUUCCGGGGGGCAUGCCUGUUCGAGCGUCAUUACAACCCUCAAGCUCUGCUUGGAAUUGGGCACCGUCCUCACUGCGGACGCGCCUCAAAGACCUCGGCGGUGGCUGUUCAGCCCUCAAGCGUAGUAGAAUACACCUCGCUUUGGAGCGGUUGGCGUCGCCCGCCGGACGAACCUUCUGAACUUUUCUCAAGGUUGACCUCGGAUCAGGUAGGGAUACCCGCUGAACUUAAGCAUAUCAA